AAAUAUGCAAGCGGCCUUUGGAAAACCUACAGGCAGGUGACAGUAUUUGGAUUUAUAGACAGACAAUACACUGUGAACCUUGCUACUCUAAAGUAAUGGCAAAGUGGAUUCAAUAAUUCUGGCACAUGGAAAUCAAGAGAAAAGUGUUCAUUAGGAAGUUAAAUUUUAUUUUAAGAAUAUGUCAUCUAAAAAAGCUUUUACACUGAAGAUUGACCCUUGUAUACAACUAACAAUUCUGCUAUUGCAUAAAUAGUCUAAUUGCCUUCAAUAAGGUCAUAUACAUAAAGGAAGCCAUCUGGUAUCUGGCUAGAUUUAGCCAUGAAAAAUUCAAGUGGUUCCAGUUACCAAUGUCGAAGGGAUGAUGCUUCUGAUGGCAGUGAGCUGUGUCAACCCUAACUAGGUCCAUCUCUGCUCCAUAAGUGGGCUGCACAUCGUGGUUGCCGUUAUAGACAAGUUUCCUUUUCUCCCAUCUUUGUUUCCCUAAGGAUUUGUAUUUACAGAUACUAUUGACAUCCUGACAAACUGUCAAAAAAGCAAGAUAUAUUUCUUUUAUGCUCAAAAGAAAUGUUGAUAGAAAUUUUUUUAUGAAGUUUGGCAGAAAGAUGUUUCAUAUAAAGUUGUAUGAACCUCAGAGGAUCACUUGACCCUUCCAUACAAAAUGAUUGGUCCCCAAUCUGCUCCCCAGAUUUUCUGAUUCUAAAGCAAGUGUUGUUUUCUCUUUAAAAGCAUAUUUGAAUAUGUGUUUGUUAAGCAUAUUGAACUAAAUAGUACAUCUAACCAAUUUAAUGUUAUCCUUCAGUUUGCCACAGAUAUAAUUUUUAUAGAAUGUUUUAAAAACAGAAACAUGGAUUUAUGAGUAAUGGGUAAAAUUAUACAUGAUGUGUAUAGUUUACAUAUUAUAAGUUGUUAGAUUUUCUUUGCAUGCAUUUCAAAAUCCAAGUAUAUGAAUAAUCUCUGAGAAAUAAUGGUUGUGGAUUACAAAGACAUGUUCUUUUGCUUGUCGCAUCUACUCAUAUUACAUAGCACUUUACAGUUGCAGACAGCUUAUAAAUAAAAAUAAAAUGAACUACCAGUUACACAGAA
Molecule: non-coding RNA, 1083 nt
Organism: Leptonychotes weddellii (Weddell seal)
Lineage: Eukaryota; Metazoa; Chordata; Mammalia; Carnivora; Phocidae
Source: RefSeq, a predicted model, not a curated record